Molecule: long non-coding RNA, 6560 nt
Filed under: Nicotiana benthamiana
Lineage: Eukaryota; Viridiplantae; Streptophyta; Magnoliopsida; Solanales; Solanaceae
Description: long non-coding RNA (NBEN_LNC009267)
Source: RNAcentral
CAAAGCGCCUACAAUGGGUGCUGGAAUUGAAGCAAAGACAGCUCCAAAUUUCCCUGAUGAUAAUCAAUGCGCAGUUAAAAAAGCAACAUGCAAAAGAGGAGUGGGGGAUCAUAUAUCAACCAAAAAAAAAAAAAAAAAAAAUCUAAUCAACAAAAUGCUUAGGCAGGAGGUUUACCAAGAAUUGAAAAGAAAAUCAUAAAACCAGCAGAUAUCUGAACAACUCUUCUGCUGCCAACACGUGUUAGUGCUAAAAGACCAGCAUUUUCACUGCAUAUAUAUGAAGGAAAAGUCAAUUCAUCUGUGAUGACUGGUUUCUUCAUCUUAUUGUGCUGACGAAGAUUUUGCCUGGACUUACACAGAUACAGAAGAUCCAUUCCCUGUGCCAAACAACCCCGACAGUAAAAUGCCAAUUCCCUGAGACAGGCAAAAGGUUUUGAAAUUAACUACAGCAAGAAGGGUCUGUCCUAUGAUGAAAUAUAGGGAACAGGUGAUCCAGAUCCAGUUGAUCCCCACCCCUCCAUCCCUCUAGCGCCUUGAUUUUAUUUUCAACACAAUAACUCACAGGCUUGCAUAAGUUUCAAAGCAUUCCCAAACUCAUUAUGCAAGAUAAAAGAAUCCUCCACACGUAAAAGGAAGACAGUGAAUGAAUGUGAACAGGAACAUAGAUUACUAGAAAACACGAGGAGGAAGCAAGGACUGGCAAAUAUCAAGUUUCAAGACAAGGGUCGUCACUAGCCAGAUGGUUAUGCAGGGAUUUGGGGUUAUCUUAAUCGCUUGAGCUACAUGCCGUACGAUAGCUGCUCUGUAAUGGCAUACCAAAGUGGAUCCAGUGAGAAAAUCAGUAACCAACUUGACUCAGAUUCUCAGAAUAUUUAGCUUCAUAUAGCUGAACCAGACUUUGACAAUGUGGGUUUAGAUUGAUUGGAAACACUAUACUCUUGCAAUGUAUGGAGUGUCAUGGGACAGAAUUUGGGUACCAGCUGAAGAAAGAGUCAAAUUCUCAUGGUGAUUUUUUCUGAAGGAAAAGGUUAAUCUGGGAAGAGUGGGAUAAUGUUUUAACUGCAUAUUCCCAAUUUAGUCAAGAUCCUCCAUAUAAACCUUCCAAACUGUAUUAUGCAUUUGAAUGUAAGUUCUAGUUCAAUGAAAUCAUCAAAUUAUUUACGUUUUCAUUUUUACCUCAUUUUCUUAGAAUACAGUGGGAUUGGGAAGGGCAGGUUUUAGGGGGAUAGCACCGGUUUACCUGCCAGCCUACGCCACGGCUGAGUAUCGAUGGUGGCAUGGGAGUGGCACUUGCAUAUCUUGCAACUGCAAUAAAAGCACCAGUGGACUGAAAAUACCAGAAAGCACAAGCAAGAAAGAAAUUAGCUUCAGGCCUAUAACUUACCAAGCAUAAAAAUAUCCUUGCUCACUGACAAGGCAAAUUUUGGAAUGAAAUUAAAGAACUGAUAAAGAAGUUUAAGGAAAAGGCAGAGCAGCGCAGGGAGAAUAAUAAAGCAAGAGACAGGAGUAAGCAGAGAAGCAACUCAUAUGCAUCUAAUCCAAACCUCAGCAUCAAUAUAUCCAUUGUACCCUAAUCGAAGCAAAGAGCACAUUAUAACAAAGCCAAAGCAAUAACAAAAGCAGCAACGUAGACCUAAAAUAUUUGCAAAUAUGCCAGUAUAAGACAGACGAGAGAGGGUAGCUCGGGUAGAAAGCAUCCUUCACAUUCACCUUGAAGUUGGGGAAUUUGUGUCAACAAAAGAGCAAAGUGCAAUAGUACCACUAUUGACUCUUGGGGAGAGGGCAGGGCUGGGGUAAAAGAUAUAAGUUACCAUAUCCAUAAGAUAGUUAUUGACAAUAUUCAACGUGUAUCAAAGCCCUGAAGCGGUGACAAACCUCCACAAGAGCAACAAAUGUAGCCAUCAUCAUAGCAAAUGCUUCACCAGCAUCAAAUGAAGGUGCUCCCCACUGAAAAGGGUAUGGAACUCUAAUCCUGCAGAUAAACAGAAGCAAAAGAUGAAGAGAAAAUUAUUUUUCUUGAAAGACAUUACGUUUGGAGACAGUUGCUAGAAUAAUGGUGUUUGGGCUAGAUGUAUACAACAAUUCAAUAAACAUGUAUUAGAUCAAUGAGUUAGUGCUAUAGCAACUUUAAAAAGAAAGUGAAAGAAAACAAGUAGUAAAAGAUAUAGCAGUUUUACAGCAAACAAAAAAUAAUUUUACAAUGAGAAAAUGAAAUAGCAUAAGAUAUAUGGAAUUAUUUAAAACAUACAGCAAGAGAAAAGGAAGAGAAAAUAGUACUCCUUCUAGCGCAACUCAAAUAUAUUUGAUAAAAGUUCAUGUCUUUACAAGCCUCACAACAACUCACAUUCAUUAUCAACUUUUAAAGUUUGAUGUGAUAAAAAUAUUUCAACAAUUGCUUUAAUUUUUUGUUCCAAUAUUACUAAUUAAAUAUGUAAGUCAACUUAACAUCUAAAACUUCUAGCCCAAUAAAAUAUCGUUAAAUGAAACAAGGCAGUAUAUCUUGUUUUACAUAACAUCGUGGAGAAAGGAGGCCAAAGUGAAUGAAUCUGGAAAAGAAGAGGGUUCAGCAGGAAGAAUAAGCUAAUCCAUUUUUUGUUGGGUUUUCUGGAAAACUGAAAACAAUUUUCACUAUUUUUAGUUCUUAUGAGUAAGUUUCAGGUUUUGGUUUUUGCAAAAACCAAAACUGUUAUCUAUUCAAAACAUUUUUUCUUUAUAAUUUGGUUUCUAGGGAAGUGAAGAGGAGUCUUGGAGCAACGCCAAAGUUGUCUUUGUGUGACUUAUAGGUCACGGGUUCGAACCGUGAAAUCAGCUACUAGUAUUUGCCUCAGAGUUGCUGCCUACAUUACACCCCCGGGAUGCGGCCCUUCCCCGAACAUGAGUAAACGCGGGAUGCUUCAUGCACCGGGCUGCCCUUUUUUUUUGGCUUCUGGGGAAGUAUGUCGGAAAUGUUUCCAACCCAACAGUCACCCAGUUACCUUGGAAUAAAAGCGUCAUUUCGAAGCACUGAUGGAAAAAACAAGUAGAGCAAAAUGCACAUUGACGCUUAAACAAAUACUACUAAACAAAGUGGAAAGCUUUGCCUCUAACAAUAGCGCAUCAUGCGUCGGGACAAUGAGCCUAUCAAUGGAAAGAUAAAGUGAAGAAGAGAAGUGUAUUUGUUAUGUGCUCAAGAAUAACUAUCAAUCAACUAUGCCUCAAUUCAAAUUAGUUGGGGUCGGCUUAUAGGAUUUUUUAACCUGAAAUCAACCUAACGCAGCCCACUAUAUCCAAGCUUGGGACUGAUUGUACUUUUCCGAGAUCGACAAUAUGGACUUUGCUCCAAGGAUUAUAGAAAAGAAUAUACAUAUAUAUCAGUACCCUUAACAAUUUCCGAAAUGUGCAGCAACAAUAGAAAGCAACCCAUGCAGUCUUAAACAAGGAAAUCAGAUUGGUGAAUUUCAGAUAUCCCGCAGUGUUUUUUACCUAGUACAUUUUUUUGUCCCAUUACAUAUAUGCUAAUUAUGCAGUGUGCAAGAACUAAUGGCAACUGGCGAGCAUAAGCAUUUCUUUGUUGUCCCUAAAGGUGAUGGAAAAAAAGCAGUCGAAUUAAAAUCCCCAGGAAAGUCAUAAAAGAAGAUAACUUACCAGGGAGCACCACUAAUAAGUCCAGCCCGAUCAGUUCUGCAGCUUAUCUGUGUCUUUUGUGGCUUCCCGUUAUAAGCCCCACCCACAGUAAGUAUGUAUGCAUAAAUCCAUACAAUUGCUACCGUGAAAAGAACAGCAAAGCGAUCAAAGAUAUUCUUUCCUGGUUUUAUCAGAUGGGCCAAAUACUGCAUUGACCAACCAAAUUUGUUUAAUUUUUCAUAUCCAAUGAUGCAUUCCAGCAUAAAACAAUGCGUAAUAGAAAAAUUUGAGUUCCAAAAUAGCAUCCUACCUGAGAGAAAAUGACCAAAAGGACUAGCUGUGGCAACCCAACUUCAACACAUUUGGCAACCUAAAAAGCAAAGAUGUAUUACACUUUAACAGACUCAGAAGCAACAAGUCCCAUGGACAUCCAAAGAGAAAAUAGUGUAAUAUGCUAUAAAAUUGAUACUUCAGGAUCAGGCGAGGUUGUAUACAUACCCCAGGAAAACCAAACUCAUAAAGCCCAAAGCCAACAAGAGAUAUCAAAGGAACAGCUGAAAGUGGGGUCAGAAACCUAUAAAUCCACAAAACAUAAAAUGUUAAUAUAGCUAGUUUCCACAGUAUCUAUAUAAAUCCUUUGCCAUGAACAUGCAGCCCUCAAACCAGAAAGGUGAUCUUAGGAGCUUUUACUUUUACUUGAUCUACUAGUAUAGAGAAAAGCUACUCAGAGUGCAGAAAAUUAUGUCACCUCAUAAAAAUGAUGGAUGAAGGAGAAGGUACUACAGGAGAAUAAUGAUGCAGGUGCACAGAGAAGCACAAUUUAAAGCAUCAACUAUGCUAUAGGUAAUGAAUAAUUUAGCAUGCUCACACAUUUGCUGACACUGACUAACCUUACAACGUUGCGCCAGAGUCCACUGAAGCCCAGGACAAUUUGAAGCGUUGAAGCAACAAUAAGUGCACCUUGGGUAGCUCGCAUUAUCUUCUUGAAUCUCUGAUGAAUCAUAGGAAAUGUUUACAAUCAAUAAGGAGCAAAUAGCACCAAGAUGCAAUGGAUGAGUCUCAUAAUAUCUAUCACUGUGUAGUUUAUAAUCAAUAAGGACCAAAUAGCACCAAGAUGCAAUGGAUGAGUCUCAUAAUAUCUCACUGUGUCUCCACAUGUCUCCCCACCCAUUAGAGAAUUUACAGGAAUAUACACCAAUAUGGAUCAUAAAAUGAAACAAUAAGCAGUUUGUUUAAAAUUGCUAAGGGCAGGCAACAUAAAUAAUUAUAAAAUAGCUCUUAGUUUCUCCUUUUUCAGUUAACUGUUGAGAUUCAGUAUGUAUUCACAGAGAAGACAAAUACAGUGCUUGAAGAGACCAACCGACACAGGGUCUGGGUCCUCCCAACGACCAGAAAGGAUGAUUGAAAUUGUAGGAGCAACAAAGGUGUAGGACCCUCCAAUCACAGCAGGUAGCCUAGUCCCAAAGAAACUCUGCAAUAAGGUGUUCAGCCCCGCGACAAAUAGCAAUGUCUGGAUAACUUUUGCUUUUUGCCAAAGAAACUCUGCAACAAGGUGUUCAGCCCAGCAACAAAUAGCAAUGUCUGGAUAACUUUUGCUUUUUCCUCCUGCAAAAGGACAUGCAUUAUUUCAUAUAAAACCCGUAACACUGCUUGACUUCAAAAUUAGUCAUGGGUUAAGUAGUUAAAUAGGCUAUUCUGUUGAGUAAUCUCACAUUUCCACCUCCCAUUUGGGGAACCAGAGCUGUAGGAAUGAUAACCGUUGUACCAAGCAUAACAAGAUAAUGUUGAAACCCAAGAAGGAUAGCCUCAGCUGCAUUCCAACAAUUAGGCCAAAAUCAGCAGAGUACAAAAUCUACAUUAUGGUGAAACUGAUUCUUAAAAACAAAGUGAUGAAAUUCAAAAACGUUACUUAAUACAGAGAAGUGCUCCACAACGUCUUUAACUCUUUGCUCAAGUGCAAUAACAGGAAAAGAAGUACUAAUUACUUUAUGGAGUAAACUUUAAAUCAGCCACCAAAAUAUUAGGCCAUACAAUCAGCCUACUAGCCAAAAACACUCUUGAACAAGUUGUGUGAGAUUUUCAUGUGAGACUAGCUAUGGGGACGAUAAAAGCAUAAAUAUGUAAAUCUAAAAUUGAAAAAAACUUGAGAGAUACAGAAGGCAAAAGAGAUUCCAUUAACUCGAUUUUAUACUUAAACACUGCUGAAAGAAAAUAAUCCUACUCUUUACAAGCUAGAAAAGGAAAAAGGAGGGCACAUAUGGGAAGCUUUUCUCAUAUCUGACCAGUUUCGAGAUGUUAUUUCUCCAACAGAACACAUAGAACACCACAAACCCAGCACAGAACAUGACCUACACAAUUGUCCCUGAUUUGAAAAGUAUAUCAGAAGACGAAAAAAAAAAUCAUAUAUUCACUAGAGCAAAAGGCAUUAGAAUGAAGCAAUUCAGACCAGUGAGCUAAACUUGGUUCAGGAAAAUCAGGACCUACAUACACCUACCUUGAAGGAAUAUAAAUAUAAAUCAAUCAAUUAGAAAGACUGAAAUACAAGGGUAUAUAAAUUAGGCUAUACAAAUUAUCUAUAUCCAGUUUAUUGUUCUUGAAUUAUUUUUAUGUUGACUGACAAUUUACCACCAUUCUCCUCCAUCACCUGGACUUGACACAUACACAGAGUUAAGGAACAUACAAGGUAAAAAUAGUACUUAAGAAAGUAGAAACAUAUUAGGUUCCUCAAAGAAUCUAACACUACUUCCAUCAAACCUAAACAGUAAAACAUCAAAACAAAAGAAUACAGUGAGGUAGAAAGAGAGGUAUAGACUUACGCCAUGGGGGAGGACUCGUGAUACAGUAGGACACAUUAGGAAGCUGAUCUUUAGUUGGAUGUGGCGCUGGGUCAUCUGAUGAUUUCGCUGGAGCUGCUCCUCCACCUGCCAUUCUUUCCUCUUUCUCUCUCUACAAACUUA